UGGGGAAUUUUGGACAAUGGGCGAAAGCCUGAUCCAGCAAUGCCGCGUGUGUGAAGAAGGCCUUCGGGUUGUAAAGCACUUUUGUCCGGAAAGAAAUCCUUGGCUCUAAUACAGUCGGGGGAUGACGGUACCGGAAGAAUAAGCACCGGCUAACUACGUGCCAGCAGCCGCGGUAAUACGUAGGGUGCAAGCGUUAAUCGGAAUUACUGGGCGUAAAGCGUGCGCAGGCGGUUUGCUAAGACCGAUGUGAAAUCCCCGGGCUCAACCUGGGAACUGCAUUGGUGACUGGCAGGCUAGAGUAUGGCAGAGGGGGGUUAGAAUUCCACGUGUAGCAGUGAAAUGCGUAGAGAUGUGGAGGAAUACCGAUGGCGAAGGCAGCCCCCUGAGCCAAUACUGACGCUCAUGCACGAAAGCGUGGGGAGCAAACAGGAUUAGAUACCCUGGUAGUCCACGCCCUAAACGAUGUCAACUAGUUGUUGGGGAUUCAUUUCCUUAGUAACGUAGCUAACGCGUGAAGUUGACCGCCUGGGGAGUACGGUCGCAAGAUUAAAACUCAAAGGAAUUGACGGGGUCAUAGCUGUUUCCU
Molecule: ribosomal RNA, 586 nt
Filed under: uncultured bacterium
Lineage: Bacteria
Description: partial 16S ribosomal RNA
Rfam family: Bacterial small subunit ribosomal RNA
Source: RNAcentral